Molecule: transfer RNA, 76 nt
Filed under: Georgfuchsia toluolica
Lineage: Bacteria; Pseudomonadati; Pseudomonadota; Betaproteobacteria; Nitrosomonadales; Sterolibacteriaceae
Also listed under: 12 other names
Description: Arg tRNA
Rfam family: tRNA
About the family: Transfer RNA (tRNA) molecules are approximately 80 nucleotides in length. Their secondary structure includes four short double-helical elements and three loops (D, anti-codon, and T loops). Further hydrogen bonds mediate the characteristic L-shaped molecular structure. tRNAs have two regions of fundamental functional importance: the anti-codon, which is responsible for specific mRNA codon recognition, and the 3' end, to which the tRNAs corresponding amino acid is attached (by aminoacyl-tRNA synthetases). tRNAs cope with the degeneracy of the genetic code in two manners: having more than one tRNA (with a specific anti-codon) for a particular amino acid; and 'wobble' base-pairing, i.e. permitting non-standard base-pairing at the 3rd anti-codon position.
Source: RNAcentral
GCGCUCGUAGCUCAAUGGAUAGAGUACUGGCCUCCGAAGCCAGGGGUUGUGGGUUCGAUCCCCGCCGAGCGCGCCA